This 397-nucleotide ribosomal RNA is filed under the name uncultured bacterium. Its description in RNAcentral is "bacterial SSU rRNA". It matches the Rfam family "Bacterial small subunit ribosomal RNA", at positions 30 to 429 of the family's 1533-position model. The record is from RNAcentral.
AUUGAACGCUGGCGGCAUGCCUUACACAUGCAAGUCGAACGGCAGCACGGGAGCAAUCCUGGUGGCGAGUGGCGAACGGGUGAGUAAUAUAUCGGAACGUGCCCAGUCUGGGGGAUAACGUAGCGAAAGCUACGCUAAUACCGCAUACGAUCUAUGGAUGAAAGCGGGGGAUCGCAAGACCUCGCGCGAUUGGAGCGGCCGAUAUCAGAUUAGGUAGUUGGUGAGGUAAAGGCUCGCCAAGCCGACGAUCUGUAGCUGGUCUGAGAGGACGACCAGCCACACUGGGACUGAGACACGGCCCCAGACUCCUACGGGAGGCAGCAGUGGGGAAUUUUGGGACAAUGGCGCAAGCCUGAUCCAGCAAUGCCGCGUGCAGGAUGAAGGCCUCGGUUGUAAC